AUAUGCUAAUGUGUGGAAGCUGUUUCAUUGCAAAGAUAGUUGAAAAGGUACUGGAAAAUAAGGUAUGGCAUACCCCAACAACAGAAUGGUGUGGGCGUAUAACGGUCAUGAUCAUAUGCUCAUGCUGGAUAUUGGCUGGAACUGGAAGAGGCUGUCGUACGCGUCGAUCCAGAGCAUCCCAAACGUGCUCAAUGGGUGACAUGUCUGAUAUUGGCUGGAACUGGAAGAGGCUGUCGUACGCGUCGAUCCAGAGCGUCCCAAACGUGCUCAAUGGGUGACAUGUCUGCUCAUGAAACAUGGGACCAACACUUUUGCGUUUUUAUUUUUGUUCAGCGAAGAAGAGGCUCUCCAUUUUGGCAAUCGGUCCAUCUGGUCUGAUAUUACUGUGUCUCGUCAGUGAAUCAGUGCUGUUCUAAAGUAGGUCACUUGUUGCAGAUCCAGCAAACAAACACAGAUCCAAUAUUGCCUGCAUGAUGAAAAAAAGAUGUUCAAAAUAAAAGUAAAC
Molecule: long non-coding RNA, 505 nt
Organism: Oncorhynchus gorbuscha (pink salmon)
Lineage: Eukaryota; Metazoa; Chordata; Actinopteri; Salmoniformes; Salmonidae
Exons: 4
Source: RefSeq, a predicted model, not a curated record